Molecule: transfer RNA, 67 nt
Filed under: marine eukaryotic metagenome
Rfam family: tRNA
About the family: Transfer RNA (tRNA) molecules are approximately 80 nucleotides in length. Their secondary structure includes four short double-helical elements and three loops (D, anti-codon, and T loops).
Source: RNAcentral
UCCGUAGCUCAGUUGGUUAGAGCGCAUCGCUUAUAACGGUGUGGUCGUAGGUUCGAGUCCUACCGGA